RNAcentral lists this ribosomal RNA (533 nucleotides) under uncultured bacterium. RNAcentral describes it as "partial 16S ribosomal RNA". It matches the Rfam family "Bacterial small subunit ribosomal RNA", at positions 355 to 874 of the family's 1533-position model. The record is from RNAcentral.
UGGGGAAUUUUGGACAAUGGGGGAAACCCUGAUCCAGCCAUCCCGCGUGUGCGAUGAAGGCCUUCGGGUUGUAAAGCACUUUUGGCAGGAAAGAAACGUCGCGGGUUAAUACCCCGCGAAACUGACGGUACCUGCAGAAUAAGCACCGGCUAACUACGUGCCAGCAGCCGCGGUAAUACGUAGGGUGCAAGCGUUAAUCGGAAUUACUGGGCGUAAAGCGUGCGCAGGCGGUUCGGAAAGAAAGAUGUGAAAUCCCAGAGCUUAACUUUGGAACUGCAUUUUUAACUACCGGGCUAGAGUGUGUCAGAGGGAGGUGGAAUUCCGCGUGUAGCAGUGAAAUGCGUAGAUAUGCGGAGGAACACCGAUGGCGAAGGCAGCCUCCUGGGGAUAACACUGACGCUCAUGCACGAAAGCGUGGGGGAGCAAAACAGGAUUAGAUACCCUGGUAGUCCACGCCCCUAAAACGAUGUCAACUAGCUGUUGGGGGCCUUUCGGGCCUUGGUAGCGCAGCUAACGCGUGAAGUUGACCGCCU